AGACUCCUGUGACAUUUUGGAGA
This 23-nucleotide small nuclear RNA is filed under the name Arabidopsis thaliana (thale cress). Its description in RNAcentral is "snRNA_13161". Lineage: Eukaryota; Viridiplantae; Streptophyta; Magnoliopsida; Brassicales; Brassicaceae. The record is from RNAcentral.